This is a long non-coding RNA of Drosophila miranda, 419 nucleotides long. RefSeq lists it as uncharacterized. The record is from RefSeq and is a predicted model, not a curated record. NCBI's taxonomy places the organism in Eukaryota, Metazoa, Arthropoda, Insecta, Diptera, Drosophilidae. The transcript has 3 exons.
GUCGAGUUCUGUGCGAUUUUCCUGUGAAUUCGGAAAAAACGAGGCACGACUUAUUCAAUGGAUACUCUCGCGCUUUUCCCUUCUUUGCACUCUCUGGGUGCAAAAAUCAUGCAAUUUGAGAAGUCAAUUAAGCCGGCUACGAUUUUAAAAUACAGGCAUAUAGACAUUCGAGCAUGUAACGACAAUUGAUCUGUGGAUGAACCUGAGCUUAUCUUUGAAAUAAUGGCGAUUUUUUCCAAUUAAGCUGAGUAAACAUUGGAAAUGAAACGAUUACCAAGGAAAAUGUAUAUGAGUCCUGGUCUUCAAUGGCUUGUUACUUGGAAGUGAAAUGAUUUCAAACAAAAUGAUAAGUAUUUUUCCUUCAAUAAUUACUUUAUUUUAUUUGUAUUAAUUCAUUCACAAUAUAUGGUAAAGAUCGU